UAGAAACAAAAUCCUGUGACAAAGAACAGAACAUUAGAAGCAUUAACCCUUAAUGAAUUGCAAUCUGAAAUACAUUAAAAAUACUCAUAUACAGUGAAAUACAUUAAAAAUACUCAUAUACAGUGCAAAUGAAAGUAUUGAUUUACAUCUGAUUCUAGUAAUCUGUCUUUCUCUAGGAGUGUAUUUCCAAAUAUUUUGCUAAGAAAAUCCAAUGCAUUUAAGCAGAACUUUGUCUUCGUGCUAGAAAAAGAGUUUGAGGAAAUAAUUUUAAGGUUUUAUUUGUUUGCUUUGAACUGUCUCAGUAACAGCAAGUAUUGGGAAAAUUCAUGCACAUUUUCUGUUGUAGAACUGUAUCACUUCUGGCUCAACCAUUCCUUCCAGACCACUUAGUAUCGCGUGUAAAGUGCUCUAGGAGAUUGUGGUGCUCCAUAUAGCAAGACUCCUGAUCUCUGUCGUAUGGGCAGGUUUGCAAAUAAUUCUGGAUACUGGAAAAGAGUUUCAACAAGACAUAUUCUAAAAUAUCUGUUCCAGUACUGUAUCUGAGGCUGCAGGGAAGACAAACAACAUCUUAACAAUUUUACCUGAACUUACCUGAUCUGGAGGUCGG
This is a long non-coding RNA of Strigops habroptila (Kakapo), 607 nucleotides long. RefSeq lists it as uncharacterized. The transcript is spliced from 3 exons. NCBI's taxonomy places the organism in Eukaryota, Metazoa, Chordata, Aves, Psittaciformes, Psittacidae. The record is from RefSeq and is a predicted model, not a curated record.